AUCUAGAUAGUUUAAUUUGGAGAAUAAUAAUUUGUGGUGUUUUAGGUGUAGUUUAACUCUAGAUU
RNAcentral lists this transfer RNA (65 nucleotides) under Harmostica fulvicornis. Its description in RNAcentral is "tRNA-His". Lineage: Eukaryota; Metazoa; Arthropoda; Insecta; Hemiptera; Rhyparochromidae. The record is from RNAcentral.